GAUGAACGCUAGCGGCAGGCUUAACACAUGCAAGUCGAGGGGCAGCGCGAUGUAGCAAUACAUUGGCGGCGACCGGCGCACGGGUGCGUAACACGUAUGGAAUCUGCCCUGUACUGGGGAAUAGCCCGGAGAAAUCCGGAUUAAUGCCCCAUAACAGACGAAGUGGCAUCACUUUGUCUUGAAAGCUCCGGCGGUACAGGAUGACCAUGCGCACGAUUAGCUAGUUGGUGAGGUAACGGCUCACCAAGGCUACGAUCGUUAGGGGGCCUGAGAGGGUUAUCCCCCACACUGGUACUGAGACACGGACCAGACUCCUACGGGAGGCAGCAGUGAGGAAUAUUGCGCAAUGGAGGCAACUCUGACGCAGCCAUGCCGCGUGCAGGAAGAAGGCGCUACGCGUUGUAAACUGCUUUUGGAUGGGAACAAUAACUCCGACUUGUCGGAACUUGAGGGUACCAUCAGAAUAAGCACCGGCUAACUCCGUG
RNAcentral lists this ribosomal RNA (485 nucleotides) under uncultured bacterium. RNAcentral's name for it is "bacterial SSU rRNA". It matches the Rfam family "Bacterial small subunit ribosomal RNA", at positions 28 to 507 of the family's 1533-position model. The record is from RNAcentral.